AUGCGGAACACUGUUAGAAUUGGAGAAGUUGGACGACAUGAAUCUGCAGAAGGAGACCAGAUCCAGUUCGGUGGUCAAAAUGAUAAAUUGCAGGGAGUAGGAGAAACUAUCCUAACUCUAUCCUCGGUCGCAAAAGAUCUACCUGUAGACACCAUUGCAGGAACAGAAGGGGAAAAGGCAGGAGCUAAUCAGGAGGUCACAAAUCUGGGAAGAGGAGAAACCAACACAACGACUAUAGCAAAGAAUCAGAUAGUUAGUGGUAAUCAGGGAGGAGAGCAUCGGCGUAGAGUUUCAGGCUGGGAUGUUCGGCCGACUAACGGAUCCGGAGAUUUUAACUCAGGAGAUUCAAGACUUCCUUUUGUUGGCUCUGGAGGUCCCAUUAGAAAUCGCCAUUAUUUAUCUAAGAAAAUAAUCAAUCAGAAUCGUAUGCGCAAAGAUAAUAGUUCUAUUAAGGAAAGAACUGGUAGUCCUUAUCCUUAUCGCUACAACAGAUCUCCUGCAAGAGUGGAAUCAAUAGGAGGAGAGGACUAUGAACCAUGUCCUAUUAGGACACCCUCACCAUCCUCUAGCACAGGCUCUCUGGGGUCCAGAUAUGGCGCUUUCUCCCCUCCUAUGACAGUUGAUGACAGAUAUAAGGGUAUGGAUGCUCAUGCUGACUAUGGGGGUGCUGAAGCUUCAACCAAAGUACAAGGUCAAGUUGGGGAAAGUAGCAAUGACAAUGGUUAUACAUUUCCAGUUCUGGAAACUCAUCCAGAAGGUGACAUGGAAGUUGAUGGGGCUAUGGCGCCAGCCCUUAAGGCGCCACGGGCGCCAUGA
RNAcentral lists this ribosomal RNA (816 nucleotides) under Triticum aestivum (bread wheat). RNAcentral's name for it is "partial small subunit ribosomal RNA". The record is from RNAcentral. Lineage: Eukaryota; Viridiplantae; Streptophyta; Magnoliopsida; Poales; Poaceae.